GGGAGGCAAAACACGCAGUCUAGCGAGCUUGCCUAGAUGAUUUUAGUGCUUGCACUAAAUGAAACUAGAUACAAGCGACCUGCGGACGGGUGAGUAACACGUGGGUAACCUGCCCAAGAGACUGGGAUAACACCUGGAAACAGAUGCUAAUACCGGAUAACAACACUAGACGCAUGUCUAGAGUUUGAAAGAUGGUUCUGCUAUCACUCUUGGAUGGACCUGCGGUGCAUUAGCUAGUUGGUAAGGUAACGGCUUACCAAGGCAAUGAUGCAUAGCCGAGUUGAGAGACUGAUCGGCCACAUUGGGACUGAGACACGGCCCAAACUCCUACGGGAGGCAGCAGUAGGGAAUCUUCCACAAUGGACGAAAGUCUGAUGGAGCAACGCCGCGUGAGUGAAGAAGGGUUUCGGCUCGUAAAGCUCUGUUGGUAGUGAAGAAAGAUAGAGGUAGUAACUGGCCUUUAUUUGACGGUAAUUACUUAGAAAGUCACGGCUAACUACGUGCCAGCAGCCGCGGUAAUACGUAGGUGGCAAGCGUUGUCCGGAUUUAUUGGGCGUAAAGCGAGUGCAGGCGGUUCAAUAAGUCUGAUGUGAAAGCCUUCGGCUCAACCGGAGAAUUGCAUCAGAAACUGUUGAACUUGAGUUCAGAAGAGGAGAGUGGAACUCCAUGUGUAGCGGUGGAAUGCGUAGAUAUAUGGAAGAACACCAGUGGCGAAGGCGGCUCUCUGGUCUGCAACUGACGCUGAGGCUC
This 750-nucleotide ribosomal RNA is filed under the name uncultured bacterium. RNAcentral describes it as "bacterial SSU rRNA". It matches the Rfam family "Bacterial small subunit ribosomal RNA", at positions 41 to 754 of the family's 1533-position model. The record is from RNAcentral.